UGGGGAAUUUUGGACAAUGGGGGAAACCCUGAUCCAGCCAUCCCGCGUGUGCGAUGAAGGCCUUCGGGUUGUAAAGCACUUUUGGCAGGAAAGAAACGUCAUGGGUUAAUACCCCGUGAAACUGACGGUACCUGCAGAAUAAGCACCGGCUAACUACGUGCCAGCAGCCGCGGUAAUACGUAGGGUGCAAGCGUUAAUCGGAAUUACUGGGCGUAAAGCGUGCGCAGGCGGUUCGGAAAGAAAGAUGUGAAAUCCCAGGGCUCAACUUUGGAACUGCAUUUUUAACUACCGGGCUAGAGUGUGGCAGAGGGAGGUGGAAUUCCGCGUGUAGCAGUGAAAUGCGUAGAUAUGCGGAGGAACACCGAUGGCGAAGGCAGCCUCCUGGGAUAACACUGACGCUCAUGCACGAAAGCGUGGGGAGCAAACAGG
Molecule: ribosomal RNA, 429 nt
Filed under: Acidobacteriota bacterium
Lineage: Bacteria; Pseudomonadati; Acidobacteriota
Description: Acidobacteria bacterium partial 16S ribosomal RNA
Rfam family: Bacterial small subunit ribosomal RNA
Source: RNAcentral